Molecule: small RNA, 2969 nt
Filed under: Pan troglodytes (chimpanzee)
Lineage: Eukaryota; Metazoa; Chordata; Mammalia; Primates; Hominidae
Description: processed transcript
Source: RNAcentral
AUUUGACUCUCCAAUAGUGAUUGCCACCCAUAAGUUGUUCAGGAAAUGUUGAAUCAAUGAAUGAGAGUGGGGCAUAAAAUGGGAAAUUUGAGCACACAGAACUUUCAUUUAACCUACUUCACUAUUUGACUAUGGUGUGGCCUUGCUUUUAAUUGGAGGAUAGCUGGAGUUGCAAUCAGUAUUCAUGAAAGCAUGUUUUAAAAAAAAUGAGAAUCAGUCUAACAGAAUCUGAACUUUAAAAAACAUCUCAUUACUGAUUAUACAUGGUGACGAUAUUUUCCAAAUCGUGGAGCUUCUACUGGGAAAAGUCUUCAGGAACCAGUAUUACUGUGGACAUCGCCGUCAUGGGCGAGGCCCACGGCCUCAUUACCGACCUCCUGGCAGACCCUUCUCUUCCACCAAACGUGUGCACAUCCUUGAGAGCCGUGAGCAACUUGCUCAGCACACAGCUCACCUUCCAGGCCAUUCACAAGCCCAGAGUGAAUCCCGUCACUUCGCUCAGUGAAAACUAUACCUGUUCUGACUCUGAAGAGAGCUCUGAAAAAGACAAGCUUGCUAUUCCAAAGCGCCUGAGAAGGAGUUUGCCUCCUGGCUUGUUGAGACGAGUUUCUUCCACUUGGACCACCACCACCUCGGCCACAGGUCUACCCACCUUGGAGCCUGCACCAGUACGGAGAGACCGCAGCACAAGCAUCAAACUGCAGGAAGCACCUUCAUCCAGUCCUGAUUCUUGGAAUAAUCCAGUGAUGAUGACCCUCACCAAAAGCAGAUCCUUUACUUCAUCCUAUGCUAUUUCUGCAGCUAACCAUGUAAAGGCUAAAAAGCAAAGUCGACCAGGUGCCCUCGCUAAAAUUUCACCUCUUUCAUCGCCCUGCUCCUCACCUCUCCAAGGGACUCCUGCCAGCAGCCUGGUCAGCAAAAUUUCUGCAGUGCAGUUUCCAGAAUCUGCUGACACAACUGCCAAACAAAGCCUAGGUUCUCACAGGGCCUUAACUUACACUCAGAGUGCCCCAGACCUAUCCCCUCAAAUCCUGACUCCACCUGUUAUAUGUAGCAGCUGUGGCAGACCAUAUUCCCAAGGGAAUCCUGCUGAUGAGCCCCUGGAGAGAAGUGGGGUAGCCACUCGGACACCAAGUAGAACAGAUGACACUGCUCAAGUUACCUCUGAUUAUGAAACCAAUAACAACAGUGACAGCAGUGACAUUGUACAGAAUGAAGAUGAAACAGAGUGCCUGAGAGAGCCUCUGAGGAAAGCAUCGGCUUGCAGCACCUAUGCUCCUGAGACCAUGAUGUUUCUGGACAAACCAAUUCUUGCUCCCGAACCUCUUGUCAUGGAUAACCUGGACUCAAUUAUGGAGCAGCUAAAUACUUGGAAUUUUCCAAUUUUUGAUUUAGUGGAAAAUAUAGGAAGAAAAUGUGGCCGUAUUCUUAGUCAGGUAUCUUACAGACUUUUUGAAGACAUGGGCCUCUUUGAAGCUUUUAAAAUUCCAAUUAGGGAAUUUAUGAAUUAUUUUCAUGCUUUGGAGAUUGGAUAUAGGGAUAUUCCUUAUCAUAACAGAAUCCAUGCCACUGAUGUUUUACAUGCUGUUUGGUAUCUUACUACACAGCCUAUUCCAGGCCUCUCAACUGUGAUUAAUGAUCAUGGUUCAACCAGUGAUUCAGAUUCUGACAGUGGAUUUACACAUGGACAUAUGGGAUAUGUAUUCUCAAAAACAUAUAAUGUGACAGAUGAUAAAUACGGAUGUCUGUCUGGGAAUAUCCCUGCCUUGGAGUUGAUGGCGCUGUAUGUGGCUGCAGCCAUGCACGAUUAUGAUCAUCCAGGAAGGACUAAUGCUUUCCUGGUUGCAACUAGUGCUCCUCAGGCGGUGCUAUAUAAUGAUCGUUCAGUUUUGGAGAAUCAUCACGCAGCUGCUGCAUGGAAUCUUUUCAUGUCCCGGCCAGAGUAUAACUUCUUAGUUAACCUUGACCAUGUGGAAUUUAAGCAUUUCCGUUUCCUUGUCAUUGAAGCAAUUUUGGCCACUGACCUGAAGAAACACUUUGACUUCGUAGCCAAAUUUAAUGGCAAGGUAAAUGAUGAUGUUGGAAUAGAUUGGACCAAUGAAAAUGAUCGUCUACUGGUUUGUCAAAUGUGUAUAAAGUUGGCUGAUAUCAAUGGUCCAGCUAAAUGUAAAGAACUCCAUCUUCAGUGGACAGAUGGUAUUGUCAAUGAAUUUUACGAACAGGGUGAUGAAGAGGCCAGCCUUGGAUUACCCAUAAGCCCCUUCAUGGAUCGUUCUGCUCCUCAGCUGGCCAACCUUCAGGAAUCCUUCAUCUCUCACAUUGUGGGGCCUCUGUGCAACUCCUAUGAUUCAGCAGGACUAAUGCCAGGAAAAUGGGUGGAAGACAGCGAUGAGUCAGGAGAUACUGAUGACCCAGAAGAAGAGGAGGAAGAAGCAGCAGCACCAAAUGAAGAGGAAACCUGUGAAAAUAAUGAAUCUCCAAAAAAGAAGACUUUCAAAAGGAGAAAAAUCUACUGCCAAAUAACUCAGCACCUCUUACAGAACCACAAGAUGUGGAAGAAAGUCAUUGAAGAGGAGCAACGGUUGGCAGGCAUAGAAAAUCAAUCCCUGGACCAGACCCCUCAGUCGCACUCUUCAGAACAGAUCCAGGCUAUCAAGGAAGAAGAAGAAGAGAAAGGGAAACCAAGAGGCGAGGAGAUACCAACCCAAAAGCCAGACCAGUGACAAUGGAUAGAAUGGGCUGUGUUUCCAAACAGAUUGACUUGUCAAAGACUCUCUUCAAGCCAGCACAACAUUUAGACACAACACUGUAGAAAUUUGAGAUGGGCAAAUGGCUAUUGCAUUUUGGGAUUCUUCGCAUUUUGUGUGUAUAUUUUUACAGUGAGGUACAUUGUUAAAAACUUUUUGCUCAAAGAAGCUUUCACAUUGCAACACCAGCUUCUAAGGAUUUUUUAAGGAGGGAAUAUAUAU